CCUACGGGGCGCAGCAGUGAGGAAUAUUGGUCAAUGGACGAGAGUCUGAACCAGCCAAGUAGCGUGAAGGAUGACUGCCCUAUGGGUUGUAAACUUCUUUUAUAAAGGAAUAAAACGAGGCACGUGUGCCUUUUUGCAUGUACUUUAUGAAUAAGGAUCGGCUAACUCCGUGCCAGCAGCCGCGGUAAUACGGAGGAUCCGAGCGUUAUCCGGAUUUAUUGGGUUUAAAGGGAGCGUAGAUGGGUUGUUAAGUCAGUUGUGAAAGUUUGCGGCUCAACCGUAAAAUUGCAAUUGAUACUGGCAGUCGUGAGUACAGUUGAGGUAGGCGGAAUUCGUGGUGUAGCGGUGAAAUGCUUAGAUAUCACGAAGAACCCCGAUUGCGAAGGCAGCUUACUAAACUGUGACUGACAUUGAUGCUCGAAAGUGUGGGUAUCAAACAGGAUUAGAUACCCUUGUAGUC
This 460-nucleotide ribosomal RNA is filed under the name uncultured bacterium. Its description in RNAcentral is "partial 16S ribosomal RNA". It matches the Rfam family "Bacterial small subunit ribosomal RNA", at positions 338 to 795 of the family's 1533-position model. The record is from RNAcentral.